UACAGAGGUCCCAAGCGUUGUUCGGAUUCACUGGGCGUAAAGGGUGCGUAGGCGGUCGGGUAAGUCUGAUGUGAAAUCUCACAGCUUAACUGUGAAACUGCAUUGGAUACUAUCCGGCUCGAGGAAUGGAGGGGAGACUGGAAUUCCCGGUGUAGCAGUGAAAUGCGUAGAGAUCGGGAGGAACAUCUGUGGCGAAGGCGGCCACCUGGACCAACACUGACACUGAGGCACGAAAGCGUGGGGAGCAAACAGG
This 253-nucleotide ribosomal RNA is filed under the name uncultured bacterium. RNAcentral describes it as "partial 16S ribosomal RNA". It matches the Rfam family "Bacterial small subunit ribosomal RNA", at positions 524 to 776 of the family's 1533-position model. The record is from RNAcentral.